UAGACCGAUCUUAGUACAC
RNAcentral lists this small nuclear RNA (19 nucleotides) under Arabidopsis thaliana (thale cress). RNAcentral describes it as "snRNA_18815". Lineage: Eukaryota; Viridiplantae; Streptophyta; Magnoliopsida; Brassicales; Brassicaceae. The record is from RNAcentral.